GGGCGGGUAGCGCAGUGGCCAGCGCAUUCCCUGAGCGUGUUCUUCCCUAAAGCGGAUUUCAGCGUUGAUUUUCUCCUCUUUCCUAGAAAAAGCGUUCAUUGAAAGACCUGGGUUCGAAUCCCAGCCCGCCCA
This 132-nucleotide transfer RNA is filed under the name Echria macrotheca. RNAcentral describes it as "tRNA-OTHER". It matches the Rfam family "tRNA". From Rfam's summary of the family: Transfer RNA (tRNA) molecules are approximately 80 nucleotides in length. The record is from RNAcentral. Lineage: Eukaryota; Fungi; Ascomycota; Sordariomycetes; Sordariales; Schizotheciaceae.